Molecule: long non-coding RNA, 1449 nt
Filed under: Phoenix dactylifera (date palm)
Lineage: Eukaryota; Viridiplantae; Streptophyta; Magnoliopsida; Arecales; Arecaceae
Description: long non-coding RNA (PDAC_LNC009069)
Source: RNAcentral
AAGCAGCCCUGCGUUGAUAUUUGUCAUGUAGCAAUCACGUGAAUCCAUUUUCACCAAAAUUUAGAACCUGUAUCUUGGGUUUGGCUCUACUGGUCCUAGCUUGCUACCACCUUCAUCUCGUAAAGGCCAAAUAUCAUCUUCUAUGAAUUCGUCCCUGCUCGAGCCAACUAUCAUUUUUCCUCGAUUCGUUUAUGUCUAUGAAUCAUGAAUUAAAUUUCAGAAGAGAUUGUGGAACAAAAAUCAAAUUAUUGCCAUAAAUCAAUUAGAAACCAAGAGUUGCAAGGUAUUUGUUGCUGGAAAUUGGACCAGGGUGUGACCGCGAACCGAGGGGAGGAGCUCCGGCUGUGAUGCGGUGGCAGGUGACUGACUCCGGCGGACCUGUAAAAAGCCCUUGGCCGGGGGUCCCGGCGAAGACCCUCCAAUGCUUAAGUCCGAGAGAGAUUUGGAGGUAUUUAAUGGAGAUAAUUGAGAAACAUUUUUUGACCAGGAGAGAAGAUCGAGAGAGAGGUCCCCCGCCUCGCCAGCGUUGCCCCCUCUUUAUAGGAGGAGGUGUGGCAGUUACUCAUCCUUGAUUACAAUUGCGCAGAUCUUGGAUUAAAUAGGUUACUGUAGACGACGCGAGAUUUCAGGCUGGCUAGCGAUCGGUUGAGAUUGUGAGGAUUCAAAUAUUGGCAGCCAUUGUGGCAAAGAUUGCGGAAUUUGAUCCCGGAUACGGAGGACUUGAUGACUCCUUCUUCAUGUGGAUGUUACGAUGUAGGGGUCGGCUUGAUUUUCGGUGGAGUGGAAGUCAGUUUUCCCCUUUAACUGGGUUUUUUCCGACCUUGAGGUCAAUCGAGCUUAACUCAGCCGAGAUCAUAUCUGCCGAGGUCAUGCUUACCAUCUCAACUAUGCUUUCCUGAAGGGAACAGAGAGUUGUCCAUAUUAGAUGGCUGUCCAUCUCAAGCUUUGGUGAAGUAUUAAUCUUGCUCUAACAAUUUGGCACAUAUUAACUGAAUGAUUCACCAUGGUUUCCAUUCACCACAACUAUGCUUCACUAAAACAAUCAUUUCACGAGAGUUAGGAUGUUUAGCAACAAGUUUUGUUCAAUCUGGGUGCAGAUUUGACGAUGGAUCCCUGUGCUGAUGUGUUCCAACAUCCAAACUUGUCCAAACUUGUCCAAACUCGGUUAGUUGGCUGCAAGACUAAUCAUGGAAAUCCAUCCCUCAACUUCCAAAGGAAAAUAUUCGCAAGAUUAUUCCUUUUUUUCUUUUUUUUUGCUGAAAACGGGUGCUUCAUACAGUACGGGUACGAAUACACCCAAUAAGAUCAAAAUACAAUACCUCACGGAGUGCCAAUGGCAGCUCCGCCUCCCCCGACCAGAGGGCAUACCCCAAGUGGUGGGCCGCAUGGGCAGCCACCCAAUCGGCUGCCCCAUUGGCCUUCCUGAAUACAUGCUUGGCCAGAAUGGCC